GAAGCGGGCGAGGUUGCUUCGGUAACUGAGCUAGCGGCGGACGGGUGAGUAAUGCUUAGGAAUCUGCCUAUUAGUGGGGGACAACAUUCCGAAAGGAAUGCUAAUACCGCAUACGCCCUACGGGGGAAAGCAGGGGAUCUUCGGACCUUGCGCUAAUAGAUGAGCCUAAGUCAGAUUAGCUAGUUGGUGGGGUAAAGGCCUACCAAGGCGACGAUCUGUAGCGGGUCUGAGAGGAUGAUCCGCCACACUGGGACUGAGACACGGCCCAGACUCCUACGGGAGGCAGCAGUGGGGAAUAUUGGACAAUGGGCGCAAGCCUGAUCCAGCCAUGCCGCGUGUGUGAAGAAGGCCUUUUGGUUGUAAAGCACUUUAAGCGAGGAGGAGGCUACUUGGAUUAAUACUCUAGGAUAGUGGACGUUACUCGCAGAAUAAGCACCGGCUAACUCUGUGCCAGCAGCCGCGGUAAUACAGAGGGUGCGAGCGUUAAUCGGAUUUACUGGGCGUAAAGCGUGCGUAGGCGGCUUCUUAAGUCGGAUGUGAAAUCCCUGAGCUUAACUUAGGAAUUGCAUUCGAUACUGGGAAGCUAGAGUAUGGGAGAGGAUGGUAGAAUUCCAGGUGUAGCGGUGAAAUGCGUAGAGAUCUGGAGGAAUACCGAUGGCGAAGGCAGCCAUCUGGCCUAAUACUGACGCUGAGGUACGAAAGCAUGGGGAGCAAACAGGAUUAGAUACCCUGGUAGUCCAUGCCGUAAACGA
RNAcentral lists this ribosomal RNA (752 nucleotides) under uncultured Acinetobacter sp. RNAcentral describes it as "bacterial SSU rRNA". It matches the Rfam family "Bacterial small subunit ribosomal RNA", at positions 63 to 809 of the family's 1533-position model. The record is from RNAcentral. Lineage: Bacteria; Pseudomonadati; Pseudomonadota; Gammaproteobacteria; Moraxellales; Moraxellaceae.